AGUGAACGCUGGCGGUAGGCCUAACACAUGCAAGUCGAACGGCAGCACAGUAAGAGCUUGCUCUUACGGGUGGCGAGUGGCGGACGGGUGAGGAAUACAUCGGAAUCUACUUUUUCGUGGGGGAUAACGUAGGGAAACUUACGCUAAUACCGCAUACGACCUACGGGUGAAAGCAGGGGAUCUUCGGACCUUGCGCGAUUGAAUGGGCCGAUGUCGGAUUAGCUAGUUGGCGGGGUAAAGGCCCACCAAGGCGACGAUCCGUAGCUGGUCUGAGAGGAUGAUCAGCCACACUGGAACUGAGACACGGUCCAGACUCCUACGGGAGGCAGCAGUGGGGAAUAUUGGACAAUGGGCGCAAGCCUGAUCCAGCCAUACCGCGUGGGUGAAGAAGGCCUUCGGGUUGUAAAGCCCUUUUGUUGGGAAAGAAAGGCAGCAGGUUAAUACCCCGCUGUUCUGACGGUACCCAAAGAAUAAGCACCGGCUAACUUCGUG
RNAcentral lists this ribosomal RNA (492 nucleotides) under uncultured bacterium. Its description in RNAcentral is "partial 16S ribosomal RNA". It matches the Rfam family "Bacterial small subunit ribosomal RNA", at positions 29 to 507 of the family's 1533-position model. The record is from RNAcentral.